GCCAUUAGCUAGCUUUUUAUUUUGAAUUAAUUGAAGGGCAAUUUUAGUAAAAGUUAAAUAAUCUAAACAAGAAGAACACAAAAAUUUAGUUUCAUCUUCUUCAUUUUGAAGGGCUCCAACCGAAACCACCAUGUUAGACCAUCGAAGCUUCGGUUUUGAUUUUUCCUCUUGCAUGUAAGUGUAUUUUCUUCCAUUUUGAUUAAUUUUUGUGUUUUUAAGGUCGUUGUAGCUAGACCGAGCUAAUUUAGGGACUAAUUUGAUAAAUAAUAAAAUGUAUAAGUUUUUAAGGAAUUUAGUUGUUCUUGAAGUGGUGGAUGAAUUUAUAAGUUCAAUGGUUUAGUUUAGCUAUUUUGUGAAGCAAUUUUUGCUAGUAUUAGCUUCCAAGGAUUAUAAUGUUGAAAUGUAAAAAAUAGCAUGGUGUUAAUUUAUAAAAUAGAAGAUUUUAGGGACUGUAUAAGAAUCCUUAUAUGUUCAGUGAGCUGGGGAAAUUGAUUUAAGAAUAUUAAUUAAAUUGUUUUUUCCAAGGGCUAAGUUAUAUAUAAGACAAUGUUGAGGGUGAAAUGUAUAAAUUGUUAUGGGAUAAAUUGUUUAAGUUGAAUCAUUAUGGUUUUGAAUUAGUUAAUGAAAUUAAAUUAUCGUAUUUAGAUCAAGAAACGAGCAGAAUGGUCAUUAAUUGAGGAAAAAAGAAAGUCAUUGAGUAAUCGACCUCGAUCAUCGGAAGUUAACGCAUUUUUGGUAAGUAUGUAAUCAUUAAACUCAAACUUUAUUUACUUAACUAAUUUGAUAGUCAAUUAUAUAUAUAUUCAAAUGAUUAGUAUUUUGAAUGUAAUGUUAUGGAUAUAUAUAUAUAUGAAAAUGGUUAUGGAGUAGAUUAUAGAAAUUCAAUAUAGAAGAUUAAUGUAAAUGAUUUAAAUUAUGAAUUGAAGAAUUGUGGAAUGAUGUAAUUACAUAUGUAAUUGUUGGUUUAUUCUACUAGCGCUAGGCGCAACUCAUUGUUGAUUUAUCCAACUAGUGCUGGGUACACAUUUGACACGUCGGUUUAUCCGACUAGUGCAGGGCACACUUAUUGGCGGUUAUUUGACUAGCACUGGGCGCAAAACCGUUUAUCCGUUAGGCACCGGGUGUCAUUCACGGAUUGACUCAUAAUGAUAAUGUUUGAUCGAUCCAUUGGAAAAAUGUUGAAUUAUGAAGGUAUAUGAAAUGUUCAUAUUGAACUAUAUAGUAAAAUUUCAUGGAAAUAGACAUUAUAUGUUUUGGAUUAUAAAAUCAAGGCCAUUAAGUGUAAUUGUAGUUCUUUGAGUUAAUAACUUACUCAUUAUUUAAUUAUUCCUUGUUGUGCAAGUUAGGUACUUACUUUUUUUUUGACAACUCAGCAUCUAACGACAAUCCCAAAUUCAAAGUUAGUGAUAUUUUCUUUUGAUGUUUUGACAUGUACUUAGGACAAUAAUGUGUUGUGUAGUGGUCUUUAGGGCUAUAAAUGAAUAUAGUAAAAGUUAUUUGCAUAAUAUGUUGCUAUAUAACUUUGAAUAAUUUUAUACCUUAAUGUAAGUAUUAAUCCA
This 1559-nucleotide long non-coding RNA is filed under the name Gossypium barbadense (sea-island cotton). Its description in RNAcentral is "long non-coding RNA (GBAR_LNC007700)". Lineage: Eukaryota; Viridiplantae; Streptophyta; Magnoliopsida; Malvales; Malvaceae. The record is from RNAcentral.